UUGAUUUUUUUUUUCCCUGUUAUUGCACUGGCUAGGACUUCCCACACGAUGUUGAAUAACAGUGGGCAGAGUGAAUCUGCUUUUCUUGUCUCUGACCUUUUGGAGAAAGUAUUCAGUCUUUCACCAUAAAUAUGUCAGCUGUAGCUCUUUUAUUGAUGUUCUUCAUCAAGUUGAAUAUGGAGUCUUAUGUUGACCAGGCUGGUCUUGAACUCCUGACCUCCAAUGAUCCUCCAUCUCAGCCUCCCAAAGCCCUGGAAUUACAGGCAAGGUUAUUGAAGAUCACACAGGCUGAGGAAGGGCUGCUGAAUUCUUCAAUAUGAACCAUCCCUUUGAUAAGAAACUGAGUGGGCCUGGUUCUUCUCAUCCCAGGAGACCUCUGGUGUGCUUCCUGGCAUAUAAGAGAGCUCCCUGGCAGAGAAUGAAAACCACGCCCCUGCUUCACCUCUGCCUACACCUGGAUCUGGAAACCACUUAGGCACUACCAGGCAGCACCUGUUCUCUGCAGGGUCCAACCCUCAGUAUCUCUCUCCACAUUUUGCCCUCAGCCAGGCCUGGCCUCCUCUUCCUGAAGAAUCUUAUGUAUCCUUCAGAGCCAGCAAUCCCAUUACUGGGUAUACAUCCAAAAGAAAAUAA
Molecule: long non-coding RNA, 633 nt
Organism: Pan troglodytes (chimpanzee)
Lineage: Eukaryota; Metazoa; Chordata; Mammalia; Primates; Hominidae
Exons: 4
Source: RefSeq, a predicted model, not a curated record